GCAAGUCGAGCGCUCACUUCGGUGGGAGCGGCGGACGGGUUAGUAACGCGUGGGAACGUACCCUUUUCUGCGGGAUAGCCAUUGGAAACGAUGAGUAAUACCGCAUACGCCCUUCGGGGGAAAGAUUUAUCGGAGAAGGAUCGGCCCGCGUUAGAUUAGAUAGUUGGUGGGGUAAUGGCCUACCAAGUCUACGAUCUAUAGCUGGUUUGAGAGGAUGAUC
RNAcentral lists this ribosomal RNA (220 nucleotides) under uncultured bacterium. Its description in RNAcentral is "partial 16S ribosomal RNA". It matches the Rfam family "Bacterial small subunit ribosomal RNA", at positions 57 to 305 of the family's 1533-position model. The record is from RNAcentral.